This 253-nucleotide ribosomal RNA is filed under the name uncultured bacterium. Its description in RNAcentral is "partial 16S ribosomal RNA". It matches the Rfam family "Bacterial small subunit ribosomal RNA", at positions 524 to 776 of the family's 1533-position model. The record is from RNAcentral.
UACGUAGGGGGCAAGCGUUGUCCGGAUUUAUUGGGCGUAAAGAGCUCGUAGGUGGUUUGGUAAGUCGGAUGUGAAAUCUCCAGGCUCAACCUGGAGGGGUCAUUCGAUACUGCUCGGCUCGAAGACAGGAGAGGGAAGCGGAAUUCCCGGUGUAGUGGUGAAAUGCGUAGAUAUCGGGAGGAACACCAGUGGCGAAGGCGGCUUUCUGGCCUGUUCUUGACGCUGAGGCGCGAAAGCUAGGGGAGCAAACGGG